CCUUGGGUACUGCGGAGACAUUACCUAG
RNAcentral lists this ribosomal RNA (28 nucleotides) under Leptosphaerulina sp. Fanqin24L. RNAcentral describes it as "partial 18S ribosomal RNA". Lineage: Eukaryota; Fungi; Ascomycota; Dothideomycetes; Pleosporales; Didymellaceae. The record is from RNAcentral.